CCAGCACCUGCGGUAAUUCCGACCAGGUGCCCUUGCUUGACCUCGCCCAAGCCGAGAGAGACCUCCCUAGGAGCAGCGGCACCAUCUACCAAGCUCCCUAUCUCCACCUGGAGGAAUUGAUGGUGCGCCAACAAUCCCGGCCGGACACUGACUGGGCUAACGAUGACAAGUUCCAAGAGACCCUCAACGUUGGCCUCUCCCCGCUCCUCUACAUCUCCGAUGACGACCCUGCCAAAAUCCGGAAGCUCCGUAGCGAUCUUCGCAAAAUCCAAGAAGCGGGCGUAGUGCGCACGGUGCAGGUCCUCUACCCAGCACCACCGAUGGUUUCAGCGAUCU
RNAcentral lists this ribosomal RNA (336 nucleotides) under uncultured eukaryote. Its description in RNAcentral is "partial small subunit ribosomal RNA". The record is from RNAcentral.